UGAAUACGAGAUGCUACGGCGUCGAAGCAGUGUAUGUCAGACUUCCAAGAAAAGCUCGCAAUGUCAUAAAUAAAGAAUGCCUGUACCAUAACCGACACUGGUGGGUAGGUAGAGUAUACUAAGGGGCGCGAGAUAACUCUCUCUAAGGAACUCGGCAAAAUAACUCCGUAACUUCGGGAGAAGGAGUGCCUUCUUUAAGAAGGUUGCAAUAACAAGAUCCAAGCAACUGUUUAUCAAAAACACAGGUCUCCGCUAAGUCGUAAGACGAUGUAUGGGGGCUGACGCCUGCCCAGUGCCAGAAGGUUAAAGAAGUUGGUUAGCUUUGCGAAGCUGAUGACUGAAGCCCUGGUGAACGGCGGCCGUAACAAUAACGGUCCUAAGGUAGCGAAAUUCCUUGUCGGGUAAGUUCCGACCCGCACGAAAGGCGUAAUGAUUUGGAUACUGUCUCGGAGAGGGACUCGGUGAAAUAGACUUGUCUGUGAAGAUGCGGACUACCUGCACCAGGACAGAAAGACCCUAUGAAGCUUUACUGUAACUUGAAAUUGAAAUUGGACUUUAUUUGCGCAGUAUAGGUGGAAGGCGUUGAAAGUAAUCUUGCGGGAUUAGUGGAGCCAUCAGUGAGAUACCACUCCUAUAAUGUUAGAUUUCUAACUUUGGAUCAUGAUCUGGUCAAAGAACAGUUUCAGGCGGGCAGUUUGACUGGGGCGGUCGCCUCCCAAAUGGUAACGGAGGCGUACAAAGGUUUCCUCUGAACGGGUAGAAAUCGUAUCUAGAGUGUAAAGGCAUAAGGAAGCUUGACUGUGAGACCUACAAGUCGAGCAGGGACGAAAGUCGGUCUUAGUGAUCUGACGGUGCUGAGUGGAAAGGCCGUCACUCAACGGAUAAAAGUUACUCUAAGGAUAACAGGCUGAUCUCCCCCAAGAGUUCACAUCGACGGGGAGGUUUGGCACCUCGAUGUCGGCUCAUCGCAUCCUGGGGCGGUAGUACGUCCCAAGGGUUGGGCUGUUCGCCCAUGAAAGCGGUACGCGAGCUGGGUUCAGAACGUCGUGAGACAGUUCGGUCCAUAUCCGGUGUAGGCGUUAGAAUAUUGAGAGGAGCCUUCUUUAGUACGAGAGGACCGAGAAGGACAUACCUUUGGUGUACCAGUUAUCGUGCCAACGGUAAACGCUGGGUAGCUAUGUAUGGAGAGGAUAACCGCUGAAAGCAUCUAAGUGGGAAGCCCACCUCAAGAUGAGUAUUCUC
This 1242-nucleotide ribosomal RNA is filed under the name metagenome. Its description in RNAcentral is "bacterial LSU rRNA". It matches the Rfam family "Bacterial large subunit ribosomal RNA", at positions 1564 to 2815 of the family's 2925-position model. The record is from RNAcentral.